UUGCUUCAGCAGCAUACACUUAAAAAAUAGAAUGAUACAGACAAGAUUGGGAUGGCCCCUAUGCAAGAAUGACAUGCCAAUUCAUGAGGUGUUCCAUUUUAAA
Nycticebus coucang (slow loris) is the source of this 103-nucleotide small nuclear RNA. Lineage: Eukaryota; Metazoa; Chordata; Mammalia; Primates; Lorisidae. The record is from RefSeq and is a predicted model, not a curated record.